RNAcentral lists this ribosomal RNA (2025 nucleotides) under marine metagenome. Its description in RNAcentral is "bacterial LSU rRNA". It matches the Rfam family "Bacterial large subunit ribosomal RNA", at positions 14 to 2114 of the family's 2925-position model. The record is from RNAcentral.
AGGGCACACGGUGAAUGCCUUGGUGCCAGUAGGCGAUGAAGGACGUGUUUAAGCUGCGAUAAGCCUCGGUGAGCUGCAACCAAGCUCUGACCCGAGGAUUUCCGAAUGGGGUAACCUGUAUGCCUUAAUAGGUGUACGUUCCUCUCUGAAUAUAUAGGAGAGGAUACGCGAACCCGGUGAAGUGAAACAUCUCAGUAACCGGAGGAAAAGAAAGCGAAUGCGAUUCCGUAAGUAGUGGCGAGCGAAAGCGGAUCAGCCCAAACCAGGGGCUUUGCUCCUGGGGUUGUAGGGCUCCGAUGUGGUAUCCUGAAAGUUAGUCGAAGUGGUUGGAAAGCCACUCCAUAGAAGGUGAAAGGCCUGUAAGCGAAAACUGGAUGGAGCCUAGGAUGUCCCUGAGUAAUACGGAACACGUGAAACUCCGUAUGAAUCUGCGCCGACCAUGGCGUAAGGCUAAAUACUAACUGGCGACCGAUAGUGAACUAGUACCGUGAGGGAAAGGUGAAAAGUACCCCUUUGAGGGGAGUGAAAUAGUACCUGAAACCGUGUGCCUACAAGGAGUGGGAGCCUCUUCGGAGGUGACCGCGUGCCUUUUGCUUAAUGAGUCUACGAGUUAGUGUCUGUGGCAAGCUUAAGCGCUUUUGGUGCGUAGGCGUAGCGAAAGCGAGUCCGAAUAGGGCGACCAUAGUCGCAGGCGCUAGACCCGAAACGGAGGUGACCUACCCAUGGCCAGGUUGAAGCAUCGGUAAAACGAUGUGGAGGACCGAACCGGUACAGGUUGAAAACUGUUCGGAUGAGCUGUGGGUCGGAGUGAAAGGCUAAUCAAACCCCGUGAUAGCUGGUUCUCCUCGAAAUGCAUUUAGGUGCAGCGUCGCGUGCUUACCCUCGGGGGUAGAGCACUGAAUGAGCUAGGGCCCAUACCAGGGUACCAAACUCAACUAAACUCCGAAUACCGGGGGGUGGAACGCGGCAGUGAGACUGCGGGGGAUAAGCUUCGUAGUCGAAAGGGAAACAGCCCAGAUCAGCAGCUAAGGUGCCUAAAUAGUGCUCAGUGGAAAGGAGGUGGGAUUUCAUAGACAGUGAGGAUGUUGGCUUAGAAGCAGCCACCAUUUAAACAAAGCGUAACAGCUGACUCAUCGAGAGAUCCUGCGCCGAAAAUGAUUGGCGAUAAGCACUAUACCGAAGCUCUGGAUGCACAGCUUGCUGUGCGUGGUAGAGGAGCGUUCUCAACACCUUGAAGCCUUAAGGCGACUGAUGGUGGAGCGUUGAGAAGUGAGUAUGUAGACAUGAGUAACGAUAAGCCAGGUGAGAUCCCUGGCCGCCGUAAACCCAAGGUUUCCUGGGCCAUGCUGGUCAUCCCAGGGUUAGUCGGGACCUAAGCCGAGGCCGAUGGGCGUAGGCGAUGGACUAAAGAGGUUAAUAUUCCUCGACUUCCUGAAUCUUAAACUAGAAGGACGCAUAUUGAAUGAAGACAAGCUUAUUGAAUUGUGAGACGCAGGGUAUCGUCCCGGUCGUAUCUUUUGAAGAUGUGCCAAGAAAAGUUCUAGUGUAUGUUAAUGGAACCCGUACCGUAAACCGACACAGGUGGGUGGGUAGAAUAUACUAAGGCGCAAGAGUGAAACCCUGUUAAGGAACUCGGCAAUCUAGCCCCGUAACUUCGGGAGAAGGGGUCCCGGGACUCGUCCCGGGCGCAGUGAAAGGGCCCAUCCGACUGUUUAGCAAAAACACAGCAUUCUGCGAACACGCAAGUGGAAGUAUAGGAUGUGACACGUGACCAAUGCCAAAAGAUUAAGGGGAGGUGUUAGCCUUCGGGCGAAGCUCUGAUCCUAAGUCCUGGUGAAUGUCGGCCGUAACUAUAACGGUCCUAAGGUAGCGAAAUUCCUUGUCGGGUAAGUUCCGACCUGCACGAAUCGUGCAACGAGAUGGGCGCUGUCUCAACAGGGAGCUCAGUGAAAUUGUAUCCGCGGUGAAGAUGCCGCGUACCCGCAGAAGGACGGAAAGACCCUAUAGACCUUAACUGUAAGCUGU